AUACUUACCUAGCAGGGGAGAUAUAAUCACAAAGGUGGUUUUCCCAGGAGAGGCUUAUCCACUGUACUCCAGAUGCGCUAACCCCUGCGAUUUCCCCAAAUGUGGGAAACUCGACUGCAUAAUUUGUGGUAGUGGGGGACUGCAUUCAUGCUCUCCCUUA
RNAcentral lists this small nuclear RNA (160 nucleotides) under Myotis brandtii (Brandt's bat). Its description in RNAcentral is "U1 spliceosomal RNA". It matches the Rfam family "U1 spliceosomal RNA". Rfam says of the family: U1 is a small nuclear RNA (snRNA) component of the spliceosome (involved in pre-mRNA splicing). Its 5' end forms complementary base pairs with the 5' splice junction, thus defining the 5' donor site of an intron. There are significant differences in sequence and secondary structure between metazoan and yeast U1 snRNAs, the latter being much longer (568 nucleotides as compared to 164 nucleotides in human). Lineage: Eukaryota; Metazoa; Chordata; Mammalia; Chiroptera; Vespertilionidae. The record is from Rfam by way of RNAcentral.